UUCUAUAGAUAUUCUAUAGCCAUGGUUCAUAGACAUUUUUUAGAUCACUCCUAUGAUUUUUAAAAUGGAAAUUUGUGAUAUAAAUGUUAUGCCUAUAGAAUAUGGAUGAUUUGGCACUUGUAGAUGUUAAAAUUCUUAGAUAUUCAUGUGAGAUUUAUCUGGUGGAAUACAUGACGUAUCCGAGUUUGCAAAACAAUUUGUUUUGAAAUGGAGAUCUAAGAGAUGAAGUGUGCCGCAUGGUUAAAAAGGUUGAAAACUACUGACCUAAUAUUUACUUAGGUACAGGUCCUGGAGACUGAAGUCAUUGGGAUACCCAUCUCCAUUUUUGCAUGAGACAAUUGCCUUAUAAAAUAGUUAUUCACGCUGCCAUUAGUCAUAAAGACAGUUUAAUUUGGAUCACUGCUGGAAGUUCUGUAAAGUUAUAACUAUCAAAAAGAAUUGAACGUGAUGUAAUCAAUACAAUUAACCACUAACAGUAAAUUGACAAUAUUGCAAUGGAUUGGACAACACUUUCAAACAUUACAAGUCCAUUAAGGAUACUCUCCAGGCGCUAUGAAGAAAUAGCAAUAAUAAACAUUAUGAAUAACUCCAGUGAUGGGUAGAAAAUUGGUAGAAAAAAGUGGUGAUAUGGUGAUAUAUUAAUUUAAUUCAUUGUUAGUAUCAAAACAAAAGUCAAUGCUUUUAAUAAAGUAGCCAAUAAUCUAAUGAUAUCGCUGUCAACAAAUUCAAUGUACUUCUGCAUACAAUUGUCUGUCAUAAUAAUAAAUACCUAUUUUAUCUAAAUUCUAAAAAGUUUAUAAUAUUAAAAAAAAUCUUUUUUUUUGUUAUUAAAAAUUUACAAAUACCCCUUGAAUGUCUAUAAUUUUUAUAUAUGCAAUUUAUCAUAUUAUCUCAGUGCACAAAUAUCAGAAUAAAUUAACUGUUAUAGUUAUUAAUACACAUUUAAGUUUUAACUAUAUAGAUAUAUAUAUAAGGAUGUAAUGGUAAAUAAUGUCUUGAGUAUACACCAUAUUUUCUAAAAUGUAUCUCAAAAAAAAUUUUCUUACUACGUUUGACACUUAGUCAAUAUGUAUACCAAAAUUUUUUCUAGCUCUGCUCCAAAAAUUGUAUAUAUAAGUGAAACAUACUUUUCUUACUUAAUUUUCAGUAUCAAUUAACAACCUCACCCACUUAUAGAAUGUAAAUAGUACUAUCAAUAACAGUUGUAACAAUAAAUUAUAUUAUUCUCUUUCAAAAACAAUUAAUAAAAUAAUACCCUUUUCCAUUUGUCACCAUUCACCGUAUACAGUAUAUACAUUACACUUUGUCAACUCAACAUUUACCUACCGUAUAUCUUUAUAAUGAAUAUUUUUUUCAUGUAUACGCAUUUUUUUUUAUAAAUACUGUUAUAAGUAAACGCUCCAGUCAAUUGCGUAUGCAGGGAGGGUGUUAAGGAGAUAUGGCACCCCCUUAAAAAUAAAUAUCUGUUCAAAUUAUAAAACAAGCACUAAAAAAAAGAGUCAUUUCGUGCAUAUAAUUAUGAUAUGACGCCCCCUUAAAAUUCCUACGUACGCCACUGGCUCCAGUACACAGUACACUCCUGGAUAUAUAUAAACAAAUCAUAACACUUUAUAAUUAAGUAUUUAUAUAUAUUUUUGUGUUGUGUAAUAAUACAUAAUCACACAACAUGCACAUAACACCAACAAGACCUGAAUAAUAAUAAUACA
This 1706-nucleotide long non-coding RNA is filed under the name Rhopalosiphum maidis (corn leaf aphid). RNAcentral describes it as "uncharacterized LOC113557512, transcript variant X1". Lineage: Eukaryota; Metazoa; Arthropoda; Insecta; Hemiptera; Aphididae. The record is from RNAcentral.